This 341-nucleotide ribosomal RNA is filed under the name uncultured eukaryote. RNAcentral describes it as "partial 18S ribosomal RNA". It matches the Rfam family "Eukaryotic small subunit ribosomal RNA", at positions 1470 to 1796 of the family's 1831-position model. The record is from RNAcentral.
CCCUUCGAUGUCCUGGGCUGCACGCGCGUUACAAUGGCAUGUUCAACGAGCAUAGAAACCUUGCACGAAGGUGUUGGGAAAUCUUGUAAAUGCAUGUCGUGAUGGGGAUAGAUCAUUGUAAUUAUUGGUCUUGAACGAGGAAUUCCUAGUAAGCGUGAGUCAUCAACUCGCGCUGAUUGCGUCCCUGCCCUUUGUACACACCGCCCGUCGCUCCUACCGAUCGAACGUCCCGGUGAGGAUUCUGGACAGCCUUGGAUUUUGGUUGCACAAAGUGUAUUACCAACCAUGUUUGCUGGAAAUUGUUCAAAUCUUGACGUUUAGAGGAAGGAGAAGUCGUAACA